CCUACGGGGGGCUGUAGUGAGGAAUAUUGGUCAAUGGACGAGAGUCUGAACCAGCCAAGUAGCGUGAAGGAUGACUGCCCUAUGGGUUGUAAACUUCUUUUAUAUGGGAAUAAAAUGUUCCACGUGUGGGAUUUUGUAUGUACCAUAUGAAUAAGGAUCGGCUAACUCCGUGCCAGCAGCCGCGGUAAUACGGAGGAUCCGAGCGUUAUCCGGAUUUAUUGGGUUUAAAGGGUGCGUAGGUGGAUUGUUAAGUCAGUUGUGAAAGUUUGCGGCUCAACCGUAAAAUUGCAGUUGAAACUGGCAGUCUUGAGUAGAGUAGAGGUGGGCGGAAUGCGUGGUGUAGCGGUGAAAUGCUUAGAUAUCACGAAGAACUCCGAUUGCGAAGGCAGUUCACUGGACUUCAACUGACACUGAGGCUCGAAAGUGUGGGUAUCAAACAGGAUUAGAUACCCUUGUAGUC
Molecule: ribosomal RNA, 460 nt
Filed under: uncultured bacterium
Lineage: Bacteria
Description: partial 16S ribosomal RNA
Rfam family: Bacterial small subunit ribosomal RNA
Source: RNAcentral